RNAcentral lists this transfer RNA (64 nucleotides) under Panesthia tryoni tryoni. RNAcentral describes it as "tRNA-Ala". Lineage: Eukaryota; Metazoa; Arthropoda; Insecta; Blattodea; Blaberidae. The record is from RNAcentral.
AGGAUAGUAGUUAACUAUAACAUUUGAAUUGCACUCAAAAAGUAUUGAAUUUCAAUCUAUCUUG